AAAUAAAUAAAUACAUAGUGUAGCCUAAGUGUAUGGUAUUUAUAAAGUCUACAAUAGUGUACAGUUAUGUCCUGGGUUUUUAUAUUCACUCACCACUCACUCACUGACCCACCCAGAGCAACUUCCAGUCCUGCAAGCUCCAGUUGUAGUAACAGCCCUAAACAGGUGUACCAUAUUUUAUCUUUUAUUCUGUAUUUUUAAUAGACCUUUUUAAUGUUUAGAUAUGGUUAGAUACACAAACUUACCACUGUGUUACAAUUGUCUACAGUAUUUGGUACAGUAACAUGCUGUACAGGUUUUCAGCUCAGGAGCAAUAGGAUAUUACGUGUAGCCUAGAUGUGGAGUAGGCUACAUGGAAUACCGUUUGAGUUUGUGUAAGUAUACUCUAUGAUGUUUGCACAAUGACACAAUCGCCUAACGAUGUGUUUCUUAGAACGUAUUCCUGUCAUUAAGUGACAUAUGUCUGUAUUCUCAAAUAUGUGUCCUGAAAGUGCUGCUAUUCUCUGUGACGUGAAAAUAUCAUUGUCAUUGUUAUCAUGAUUAGCAAUUAGAAUAUUAAUUUAAUUUAAUAGACUACUUUCCUCCAAUGUGUUAAAACAUUUUACAUAAAUAUUAUCCCUUGGGGAAGCUCUCACACUUGUGCAUCAGGAGAUAGGUGAACAAAAGGGUAUUUAUUGCAGUAUUGUUUGUAAUCAGAGAAAAGGUGGGGGAUACCUUAAUAUUCACCAAUAGGAGACUUGAUAAAUAUAUUGUGCUAUAACCAUACAAUAUUGAUACAGCAUUUAAAUGAAAUGAAAUAGAACUACAUAUAUUAAUAUGAAUAUAUCUCAAAAACAGGUUGAGUGAAAAAAGCAAGUUGCAGAAUUAUACAUACAAUAUGAAACCAAUGACAUACCACAUAAAAACAUAAAGACUACGUGUUAACAUAUAGAUACACCCAUUUAUAAUAAAAAUAAAAAUAAAAUAUGCAAGAAGGAUACACAAGAAUUUUGGUAUAAUGGUUACCUCUAGGGAAGGAGGGGAAAAAUGCACAGGAAAUCAAUUGAUGUCUGUAAUGUUUUAUUUCUCAAAAAAAGAAGAGAAAGGAAAAAGAAAUAUGGUAAAUGUUAAUCUCGGCUAAAUCUUGGUGGUGGGCAUGAGGGUAUUUGUUAUUGUUGCUUCAUGAUUUUUGGCAUAUGGGAAAUCUUUAAUAAUGAAACAGUCAAUUUCUCUUCCCCAUUACCCCACUUUUUCUCAUAACCUCAGAGAGAUAAAGUAGUAUUGCAUGUGAAAAACAACCUGUCAGACUGGUUUUCUUCAUGUGGUUUUGAGGUGACCCCUUCUUUCUUUUUAAUUAAAAAACAUCACCUCAAAUUCAGAUUUGAGUAGGUUUCAAAAAAGAUCUGGACUCUAAGGGCCUUUCAUUUAUAAUGACUUUUUUUCAGAAUUUCUGAGUCCCUUUCCCUGCUCCAGCCGCCUCCAUUCUUAAAACCCUCUGUGGGCUUCCUGUUGUUGUCAGGAUAAAAACCCCAGGCUGCUCUGAGGCCUGCAGCCCUGAAGCAUCCAGCCCCAGCCUCCUCCUCUGACUGUUGGACUUUUUCUACCACAUUCAUAGUUCUUUCCGUGGAGGCAGGAAGGAGGGGAGUUAGGGUCUUCACAGGUUGGUGGCCUCUGCCAGGCUUGCUGUCACCCCUAGUCCCUCUUCAGCUCUAAGCUCUAGGUGACUCUUCCAGGACGUCUGUGUUGGUCCAACUCUCUGCUGGCUCCCAGUGUCAGGCAUGGUUCCUAGGACAUAUGAUCAAUAUGUAUUUGUUAACUCUCACUAACUAACCUGAAAUUAGAAUUAUACAGAUUAAAUAGAACCAGAUGACACUUUAACACCCACCAUCCCUUUUAUGAAUGGUGAUAUGUUUAUUUAUCCUUGCUCUAUUUUUGCUAUACAUGACAAUGAUAGGUAUAAAGUUAACUACCUUAUCCAAUUCAUAGAAAUUUCUACUAUGUGUCUUUGGACAUAUCUAAAUUUAAUAUUACUUCAUUUCAGUGGAUCCUAAUGUAAAGAGCCUAUUGCCUCAUGAAUUAAGUAGUAUUAGUUAUUUUUAAGUAAGUUAUCUGUAAAAUAGAUGGUCUGUUCUCCAGGUCAGGAGCAUGCAUUGAUAACAGAAAUUCCCAAGAAUUUUCACUGAGUUUAAUGUCAGUAUUGGCAAGCACUGCAUGGGAAGGAAAUCACAGCAACACAUUCUGAUAAAGUAGAAGCCUGUCUGAAGCAGGCUUGUAUUAAACCAAGGAGUUUAAAAUUAAGUAUAAUUUUUUGAUAGUUUCAUUGUACCAGGCAGCUUCUUGGAAUGGAUUCAUAGGGUGGCAUUAGAAUCAGAAUCUUCUGGCCGGGCAUGGUAGCUCAUGCCUGUAAUCCCAACAUUUUGGGAGGCUGAGGCGGGAGAAUCAACUGAGGUCAGGAGUUCGAGACCAGCCUGGCCAACAUGGUGAAACCCCGUCUCUACCAAAAAUACAAAAAUUAGCUGGGUAUAGUGGUGCAUGCCUGUAGUCCCAGCUACUCAGGAGGCUGAGGCAUGAGUAUCACUUCAACCCAGGAGGUGUAGGUUGCAGUGAGCCAAGAUCGCACCACCACACUUUAGCCUGGGUUUAGGAGUGAGGCUCUGUCUCAAAAAAAAAAAAAAAAAAAAGGGAAAAAAGAAAGAAAAGAAUCAGAAUCUUCUGAGCUUAAUAAUGCAAGUGAAAAUUUAUGUAGUGUCUCUCUUGCUUUUUGUAUGAGAGGUUGAAAGCCUGCACAUCUUAAUAAGGUAUACCUAAUAACAUGUUAAUAACUCACAUAUUGUCCGCUUUGGACUACAGACCUUAAAUGAAAGGGCCUUCAUAAAUUAUACAUGUCUGACAAAUAGGUGAUACAUUUUUCAAAUCACAUAAGCUCUUCAGAAUCAAGUCUGCUUUGUGGAGAUAAUUAAAGAAAAUCAAUGUGUUUUGGUUGAUAGAUAUUUGACUAGAAAACACAUUCUCCCCUCAACUCAGACAAUGGGGCGCCUAAGCUUCAAGACCAGUGUUCUCUGAAGACAGAGUGAGGGAUGGGAUUGGAAGGCUCAAGUGUUCUGGGUGCAGGACUUAUGACUCCAGACACCAGGUUCUCCCUGUGGUACCGGUCCUGACCCUAACUUCCCACUGAGCUGAGGGCAAUUGAGUUGAACUCCUGAUCUCUGUCUCUUUCCCUGGGUCAAGGAAUAUGAUUCUUUUUGUCUCACUGGGACCACGAGAGGCUUAAUUCAUCAAUGUUGGUAAAGUGCUAGGAAGAUGAGAAGUGCUGUGCCCAUUCUAAGCAACAUUAUUGAUUCACUUUUUCCUUGUGGUUAAUAUAAAGUUCUCCACAUAUCAGAUAAUGGCUCAGCGUUGCAUAAACAGCCAAGAAUCGCUAGUGGGAGAGAUGUGGCCUGUGUUUUCUCUUAGGAAUAUUGAUGUCUGUAAAAUGCCUUCAGUUUCUCUGAAAAAACAUUAUUACAUGAUUUAAGCUGAUUAUAUUAUUGUUGUAUUUUUAUCUGCAUAUCAGAGUCUUUUUUUAUUUGUUUGUAUUGUUUUGUUUUUCAGUAAUGAUCUGAAAUAAUGUUGAGCCCAGUAAAUAUUUUAUGUUAAGGAAGGCCUAGAUUGGUAAAAAUUUUGCUUAUCUAUUUUGGGUUGCCCUGUCCACUAAAUAAUAGGGGGAUACACACACACACACACACACACACACACACACACACACACACACAGAAAACUCUGUGUGUAUUUAACAUAUGUAUAUAGUGUGUAUGUAUAUGUAUACAUAAUGCUAAUGUGCAUUACCCAUAAUUCAUAAUCUUGUUCAUUAAAUCACAGGAUGUGUGUGUAUAUGCAUAUAUAUGUGCACAUAGAUACAUACACGUAUAAAAACAUAUAUCAUGUUAAUAUGCUUACUUAUGUAUUUACCAUUAUUCUGAAAUAACAUGAUAAGUAACUGUUAAUUAUGGCAUUUAGCUAAUUCACCAUUCUUGGAAAGAUUUUAGGAAUUGCAUUCCUGAAAUUGCUUUCAACAGGAAUUUUAUAAGCAUAUAUAGAAUCUCAACCAGUUACUUUAUUGUUAUACUUGAAAAAAACUUGAAUUGGAAUAAUACAGCUUGAUCAUCUACCUUAUAGUUCAUCAGACUUGGUUCUGGAUCACUUCUUCCUGUUUCCAAAUUCUAAACAUCCUCAGGAAAUGGAGAAUUCAACACCACUAGUUAUCAUAAAAAUGGAUGUUCAGUGGACUGUCGCAAUGAAGUAACAGAAUCCCCAGUUUUCAGCUGGUCACAUGGCAGCCCAGAAUAAAGCCACAUCUCUCAGCCUCCCUUGCAGCUUGGUGUGCCAGUGCCGAAGCUUGGAUGAUGCUGUGGAGGAGUAAGUGUUCUGGGGCAGCUUCUGAGAACUUCCUUUAAGUGUCAGCUGCAUCUCCUUUGGCCCUCCUUUUUCGUCUUCUUCUUGAUCAUGGGAUAUGUGGAUGUAACUGCUGGAGUUCCUGUGACCAUGUUGGACCAUGCAGAUGAGGGCCUUGCUUAGGAGUGGGGAGUGGAGUCUGGCAGGAGCUGGGACCCUGUGUUCACAGGGCUGCGUAUUGCCCUGGACUUUUACAUGAGAGAGCUGAUGAACUGUGAUCUGUCUGUUAUUUUGGGUGUCGGACACUUCCAGCCAAAUGUGAUCCUGAUAGGAACGUCCUACAAAGUGAGCACUUUAAGUAUGGAGGGGACAAUAUACAGAGCAGUGAUGAGAAUGGAGAAUGGCAAUGAGGGAAGGCUUCCUGGAAGAAUCUGCUAUCCCAGCCCAAGCUCUUCUCUUAUCUCUCAUUAUUUCUUCUGUCUUACUGUUUUGUGAACAUGACGCUUUCUCUCUUCCUGACCUUUGCUCAUGCUGUUCCUUCUGCAAUGCUUUCUCUGGUUAUCUUCCUGCUUGUCUAGUUAAUUUUAUAAUUAUAUUAAAUUAUACAGUCCGCAUAAGUACUUAACACGGCUAGUAAAUCUGUGUAAACACCACGUACAUUUUGCUGUUAUGCUCCUUAUCAUGAUUACUAGCCAGGUCAAAUUUUGCCUCUUUUCCGAAACCUCUCUUGAACACUCUUCCUCUUUGGUACUGCAGUAGUACUGCCACUCAGUACCCUAACACCUGACACUUAAAAUGUAUUUCACUCACAUCAGAACCCUGAUAUCUGGCACCUAGUGGUGCUCGGGAAAUGUUUGCUGAAUGCAACUGUGUUAUACCAGUUCUGUUUAGGGGAAGUAACUCUGUGUUCUGUUUAGGGGAAGUAACUCUGGCUAGUUAUUUGUGUAGCUACUACUCAAGAGGAAUGGAGGGACAAGAUCAGUGUGGCCCCCAAGCUUCCGUCUUCUUUGUCUCCUGGCUUCUUUGCCAUUGUGUCACCUCCCCAUCCUCAGGCUGUUAUUCUUAUGGCCACUUCUGUAAAGGAAGGUCAUAGCAAAACAGCUUCAGCCUUGCCUUAGCUUGCCUCCUGAAUCCUCAGCUUUGCCGACCUGAAUUCUAAUCACUGCUUUUUAGGGGUCAGAGGAAUGGAGGCAAACAAACAGAUCAGUAUGGGGUUGGGAGGAGUCAAAGCUGUAUUUGCAAGGUUACUCCAUUUUGACAGCAACAGGACUGGUAUUUGAAGGCAAUUUUUUUUUUUUGAGACGGAGUCUUGCUCUCUUGCCCAGGCUGGAGUGCAGUGGUGCAAUCUUGGCUCACUGCAAGCUCCGCCUCCCAGGUUCAUGCCAUUCUUCUGCCUCAGCCUCCCGAGUAGCUGGGACUACAGGCGUGUGCCACCAGGCCGGCUAAUUUUUGUAUUUUUUUUUUUUUUAGUAGAGACGGGGUUUCACCUUGUUAGUCAGGAUGGUCUUGAUCUCCUGACCUCGUGAUCCGCCCACCUCGGCCUUCCAAAGUGCUGGGAUUACAGGCGUGAGCCACCACGCCCAGCCUGAAGGCAACUUUUAUACAGUAUUAUGCUAUCCUUUGGUUUACAUGUUUCUGCUAGAUGGGAUUGCUAUGCCAACACACCCCAUGUGUGGAACUGUGUCUCAGUUCCCACCCUCAGCUCUACUAAGGUGUCCCCCUUGCACUUUCCUCCCUCCAGUCCCUUGGGCUAUUGGCACUGUCACUCAGGUGUCCAGGCAGCUGACAUGGGUGGUAGAAGCAGGCAUUAUCCCGUUGUCUCAGUUGGGCUUAUACAGGGACUCCUGCUUGGUCUUUGGGAGUUCAGAUGCUAAAAAGUCCCCUGUCAAGAAUAAGGAGGGCCUUGACACUGAAGGGAUGAGGCAGAUUUUGCUCCAGAUGGUCUUUGGAAAAAGGAAUUAGUACAGCCAGAUUGGAAAGUUUUAGUGAUUGAGAAAGAAGUACUGAUUUUGAUGAAUCAUUUCCACAGUCCCUGCCCUAUUUCUUGGUCUUGUCUCUGUUUGGAGGACUGAGUGAAAGUGUCCAUCCAGCUUCCUCCCAUCGGUGCUAACAAACUGCACUGGCUGGAUUUUGGUACCACAUUCCCACGGUGGUAUGUCUUAGGUCUCAGGCCAGCGUCCAAAGAGACCAUAUAUUAUUGUAAUUGACUAUUUUAUUGAGACCCUUAUAAUCAUACCUACUUUACCCAGUAAAGCAAUUCUUGCUUUCUUAUUCACAAGCUUUUUCCGGAUAGUAGGUGAUUACAAUAUGUCCCUCAUCUAAGCCUCCACCUAUGAUUUCCAAACAGUAAAGUUCCUCAGCUGAAUAUUAGUUAUCCCUCUUGUUUUUUUUAAAAGUGACAUUAGGAAAUGGCUAAACAUUUUAUUGCCUUCUUAUUGUCAUCUGCUUUUCCUCCACCCACCUCCUGGGUAGGUACAACAGAGCUUGCAGGGUGGCAGUGGUAGAAUGGCAUGUGGGCCAUAGACUUGUUUCAUUUGGCUUGUAGAGAACUUAACAUUUUGAGGAGGGAUUAUUUCCUAGUUAAUAAGUGGGAGAUUUCAACUCACAUAAAAACCUAGAUUCCCAACUUUUAAAAAGUCAGUUUCCACUUGAUGACAGUCAGCUACUACUGGGCAAUGGUUGCCUCUCUUAACCAAGGCAUUUUCUCACCAGUUCACCAUCACUGGCCCACAUUUGUCUAGCUUCUUCAUUAUCUGCUUAGCCCAGAGGGCAUUUGGUUUGAGACCCUUGACACAGCCCCCUUCUCCAGCUCCCACACUUUUCAGUGUCUGCUUUGCUACUCCUGCUGUCUCAGAUAUUCCCUCCAAUGGGCCUUUUCCUCACCAAUCCCGGCUGUAACAAAUCCUGUACAGCAGCCCUAUGCACUCUUCCUGGGGAAGAGCUCUAUGCUUUAUUUCCCCACAGAUUUAGUUGCAGUUGGGAAGCUGAGUGCUGACCUCCAGGUAAAUAUUGGAGAUCUAUGGGCAGAUCCCAGCCUGUUGGCUGGAGGUGCUAGUUCUGGUGCCAUGGACAUAUGGGUCUGACCCUGCAGUCUUUUGCCCUGCUCCUGAACUCCCAGUUUUGAGCUUGAUUGCAGCCUACAAUUAGGGGCAGAGCAGUAUGGGGAGUUGUUUUUAUCCUUUUGGAGAACUGUGGGCUUUCCCCAUAAUAAAUGCUGUAAUAUAAUGAUAACCGCACAGUUGCUUUACAGUUUUUUCGUUAAGUUCCUUCUUAUAAAUCAUUCCUUUACAUGUCUCAAUGACCUGAUGAAGUAGGUGUUAUUAUGGCCCCUGUUUUGCAGAUGAGCCCUAGAGGAGGCUCAGAGCACCUGCCCAAGAUUUCAUGGUCACAGCCCAUCAGGGUCUCAGGCGCCCAUGGUUUUUUAUUUAAAAAAAUUGUUUUAAGCUAUCAUACUGCUCACUGUGUGGCCUCAAUUUUAGGCUUGAAUGUUUCUCCAAAUCUGUAAAUGCCUAUAGACACAACUUAGCACACAGGAGCAUCAGGGUUACUAGUUACAUUCACCCUAUCACUGAAUAGGCCAUCAACAGAACCCAAAGAGAAAAAAAUCCCCAGUACUGUUUAUAUGCCAGUGAAUUUCUCAACCUAAACUCUCUGAAUCCUGAGCUAUAAAUGUUAGAAAUAUAUACAUUUUUAGUAACAAAAAUGGCUUUGGCAUUUCUAAAUAUUCAGAAAUUUGCAACCAUUACCUUCUUUAUUAUAUCUACACACCUUUAUAUUCUUAAUUGUUUAAAAUUCAAAAUUGACAGAUGUUAAAAAAGUUGGUUACAUUUUAACUAAUAAUAAUCAUAUGGGUUUGAUAUGCUGGCUAUGUUUUUUAAAUGUCCAUGGAAAUAAAUAUAUAAGUACGAAUUUUGUUUUAAAGAUUUUCCAUGUAUUAUCUAAAAUUAUGGUACAUUUGUCACCCCUUGGGGAAAUCCUGCUUCUGAUGGAAAAAACCAUGCAAAUUGCAGCUCUUUAUUUUUGUGUCACUGGUGAGCUUCCCUGGCUCAGUGUUGUGAGUGCAUGAUGUAUAAUGCGACAGGCAUGGAACUGUAAAUGAAAAUAAAAUUUCAGGGCCCUCUAAAUUUAUUAUGCCAAGGGAAGUUACGCCCUGGAGACUGAACCACAUAGUAUACUUGCAAUUCUGCUUCUUAGAUUAUAGAUUAGCUCUCUUCUUUAUUGUUCUAGUUCUAAAAUGACUAGGAGAGACCAGAGACCAGGCCUUCUACCCCUUCUAAUCACUGAUCUUUGUUCUAGGUUAAUUGCCUCUUUUAUUGUCCUGUACCUAACUCAGACCAUAUGGUGCCCAAGAACCCAUGAUUGUACCCAUCUUCAUAUGGAAUGUUUAAUAUACCUCUCCUGAAAGAAAAAAAGACCACUUUGACUAAUCAGAUCAUUGAAAGUAUGCAUUAAGCCUAACAUAGAAGGGUGUCGAAAUUCUGUUAAGCUUCCCUAUACUUUAUGUAAGCAAUUGCAAACUUCUACACUUCACGACACUGACUUCCAUUCUUUGGGAUCUGUGCCUCCCAGGAGGCUCAUCCUCAAACUUUGCAUUUGAGUAAACUCUUUUAAAACUAGAUUCUGACAAUUUUGAUCAUUUUAGGUUGACAGAACAGAUUCACUGGGGGGACCUGGCAAUAGUGUGUUGCUGUCACUAUCUAUCUGUUGCGCCUUCCUAGGGUUUUGUGUGGUCAUGAGCAGAGCUGGUGUUUUGGAAGAUACUGAGUGUGCUGAGCACAUGUGAUGACCCAUGUUCUUUGAGAGACAGUCCCUUAUGGUGGUUCUUUCUCAAGGCUGGGGACUUGCAUUCUUCACCAGGCUUUGUGGAGAAUCAAAAUUUAUCCCUUGUUGAAAACCUCCACCUGUAAGAGCUUACAGUGGGAACUUUGAGACUUUUGAACUCAAUUAAGCAAAUUUAUGCAUAUCGUAAGCUAGUUAUUAAUUUGAACAAAAGGUCCUGAUCCUUUUUUAAAAACAUGGAUUUCUACUACUAAAGAAAAAAUUAGAAAAUUUAUAUACAUUUAUUUUUAAAAAUCACUACACUGAAAGCAACAUUAAGGCCAACAGGAAUUCUUUUGGUUUAUGUGCUAGGAAUUGUUGCCUGGAUCCCAGUUUCUUCCCAGGCACUGAGUUUAUUGAUUGAGUUAUCCAUGUGGUUCAUAUUGGUAGAGUAGGGCGUAACCAGCUUAUAAGAUUCAGAUCUGGGGAAAUAAGAACUUGGCAGAUGCCCAUUGGACUAGCUGGAGAGAAAAAGAAUCUGAUAGCUCAACCUGUUGUAUGUAUCAACUUGGCCCACUGACCCACAGAACAAUCACUGUAUAACAUUUCUUUAUACAUUUUUUAAAAGCAUAUAUUGUUGUUUAGAAAUGUUUAUCCAUUCUAAUAGCUGUAGUGUUCUUCUGAAAAAUAAUUUGUAAUUUGGAAGGGAUUAUGCUUUUUAAAAUGUAUGCAUUUGGUCUGGAAUAGCCCUCAGAGGAUAUCCACACAUAUAAGUAGCAGGCUACAAACAGGACUUGGAUUAAUAGACCACAGGGGGCUAUUUAUAUGGAGAGUUUAAGUGCAUGUUAUUGUUAUUUCUAAAUUGUAUUAAUAAUAAUACCCUACACCUGUCCAGCAUGUGUAUGAGAUUUUACUGUUCUACAGAGUGCUGUUGUAUACAUCAUUGCAUUUGUUCCCCACAACAACCGUGGGAGGGAAGUUGGGAUAUUUUUAAGUGUUGACACUGAAGUCCUUUGCUUGAGAUAAAAAGUCCCAGUAAGGUGUGGGAAGGAAAAGACGCGAAGGAGACACAAGCAUUAUUUUCACUGUAUUUUUGACUAGUGUCAUUGCAAGUGUUCAGAUUGGUUUUGGACAUUUUAGUCCCCUGGGAGAGACCGUAUCUCAUUAUUUCUUCCACCUGGUAGGUGGAGUACUCUCUCAGAGGAAAAGCUGCAAAAUUAAAGGAGAAUGCUAUCUUCCACUUCACAACGCUUAAUAGCAAACUUUUGGAUUCCUCACUGAACACUUUUCUAUAUCCUUUUCGUUUCAAUAUGCGCCAUUUCUGGUAAGAUCUGGAAAAUCAAAUAAGCAUGUAGAGAUUGUCAGAGGAAACACAAGAUUCUGUUAUUAUAGGCAGUAGAGAUCAAAUUGUGACUUACAUAUUAUAGGUGGAAUAUUUUGGGCUUUCCUGAAACAUGGGAAACCAGAGACAAGCUGUAUAGUAUGUUGAUAGCCAAGCUGGAAUAGUGAAACUAGGACUCUGGAAUCCUGGAACCUGUACUGAGAAAUAUUUAAAUAAUUUAUUAUGAUUAUUUCCACAGAAUACAAUUCUAGGAUGAAAUGCUAAUUUUAUUUGACUUACAUAAAGGGAAAUUAUUACUGCAGUUACUUUUAAAGAGCUCCCUGGGUUUUCUGGGAGUAUCUGAAUUAACAGUAAAUUGAGCUCCAUUACAUAUUAAUGGGUCCAGCUGAUUUAUUGGUGGUAUAUCUGGCAAUUAGCCAUUCUGCAUAGUGUCUUCUGUUUGGCCAUUACUUUUCACUAUUGAGUGCAAGCUCAGGGAUGAGCACCUUGAAGCAAUGGGGAAGUCUGCCUGUCAACCUAAUAGGGCCUUGCAUCAUUUUAAUGGUGAGUUAUGAUCUGUCUUGAAGGAUAUUUGGACACACUUAAUAUCUUUUGGAUGACAACCAUUGGAGGCAUAAAUGAAAGUACAUGUUGUCAUUGAACCACUAAAAAUCUUCACUCAGUCACCAGAUAGCCAUUAUGUUAUAUUAAUCUCUUUGGAUAUUUCCUUUAUUUUAAAAAAUUAUACAAUUUCUUCUAGCUUCUGUGGCACUUACAGAAUGAAUUGCUGUGAGUUCAGUGUAGCACAGCAAGUUAUGGCCAACAGUGGUUAUUUGCAAGAGUUACUUUGGGUUUCCUAAUUUGUCCUCAAGAGAAAUAUUUUUUGCUCAGCCUGCAAAAUGUUGUCAUAAAAAUUGGUGAUUGAUUUUGAUUAUAAGAUUAAAUGGCUAGGCUACAGUGGCCAAUGUUGUAAAUCAAAGCAGCCCAAAGUUGUGAUUGGCCACUAGAGAAGGUUGUAACUGUGUUUUCUUGAGUUGAUAUAUUUCAAGUCUUUAUAGUAUUGACUCCUAAAGUUUACUGAAACAGUAUUUAAAGCAUCUUUCUACAGUGUUUUAAAUUAGUUUCUAGUACAAUUUAGCUUUGCCUAUCUAAACAUGCAGUAGUAGAAGAACAUACAUGAAAAUUCUCUUCUUAGAGGGAAAGCAGUUUAAGAGUUGGUGAGGGCAUGGAAUUUGUGAAACCUAAGUUAAUUGUCUGAGUUUUUAUUGGAUAUUUUUUGUACUUGGCUAUUCAGAAUUAAUUUCUCCUUCCUAAAAAAUUCUUUGCAGGAGGGACCCUUUCCCCAUUGUUUAUAGUUUGGUGCCAUCCCUCUUUUUCCGAGGGGCUAGCCCCUGAUCCAACAUAGCCAAAGGGAUGUCCCUUUCUGAAGUUUGACUGUUGAGUAGAAGAACAAACACCGAAAAAGUUUGGAGUUCCUAAUUUCCAGUCUGAUCAGAUUGUUCCUAUCACUGUCAUAGUCUGGCCAUCUGCGUGACAACUGUUUUUCAAGUCUGUUUCUCCUACAUUUGACAAUUCCGGGAGCCCCAUGGUAACAUCCUAAUAAAUUCUACUUUGCUAACCAAGCCCGAGGUGGUUUCUCUUACUUGAAACAAAAGACCUUAAUAUAUAAAUUGGGCAUUUGUUAACCCACAAGAAACUGAGGCUUCCUGAUUGGACUGUGAAUAUUUAUUCAUUAAUUUAUUCACCAAAUGUUUAUUGAGCACCUACCGUGUGUUAGGUACUCUUCUCUGUUAGGGAAACAGAAGCGAAUAAAACAAACAAAAAGAUGCGCCUUCAUGAAAGUUGCAUUCUAAUUAAGGGGGAUAGAUGAUAAGCAAGAUAAAUAUAUGUCUUUAUUUUAUAUAUAAAUAUAUGAUAUCCAAGUUAAGGAGUGAUAAGUGCUAUACAUAUUCAUGUAAAAUAUUUUUCAUAUUGGUUCUUUCCUUUUAAAGUCCCACAGAUCAGAUAAGCCUGUUGGGGGUGGAUGAUGAGAUGGAAUGACUGGGACUGAGGCUCUGCCACUCUCUUGUACCUUGCUCCAUCUGCAUAUCUCCCAAAGGGCUCCUAGUCAGGAUCUAAGCCAAGGGAGAACUAUUCAGAUGAGUAAGGAUGAGUGUCUGCUGAAAGUAGAGACCUGGAGAAUAGAGGACUUGGGUAAGACAUGGAAGUGGCAGGAGUUGAGCAAGGGUUAUAGUCUUGGAGAGGGGGAGAUUUUUCCCUUGGUGGCCCUGCCUUCAACGGGCCCCAAAGGGCUCUGGUAGGUAGAAAGAUGACAAUAAUAUUGACUCAGGAAAGUCAGACUGGGACUUGGGCAAGUGAUCAAGGAUACCAACUGAUCUGUGGUAGGGAAGGGGAGUCCAGGUCAGAAAGGGAAGGAAGCAUCAUGGGAUUGUGUGAGACAGAGCUAGGUAGCAGCUCUCAGAAUUGGUCAGGGAUCGUUGAAGGGAAGAGAGCUUGCCACCACUAACCAAGGGGAUCCCAUGAGGGAUGAAAACUUAGAAAAGGGCUCAGACUCCCUCAAGAAGAAUAGAGGUUGAGGGGAGCAAAAGGAGUAUUUGUCUUCUUGCUUGCAAUGAAAUCUAGUAUUGAGGACACUCCCUAACCUGAUGUGUACUUGAGGUCAAAAUGAAGAGGUUUGGUGAGAAGUGCUAGGAUGUGGUUAUGCUAAGGUGGGAAGGAUCCACACCAGCCCCGUCAGUCUGGAAACAGAGGAUGUGACAGAGAAGAUAACUUUCCACCACUCCUGGAGACUCCUGAUUGGUGUGUUGGUCACCCACAGAGAGGGGCUGGGUAUAUGGAAGAAAAACACAUGCCAACAAGGAAGAAUCCCAGUCAUUUGUCAGCUACCUGCUACUGGCCUGGAAUGAAAAGAAAAGUUAUGAUACUUAUUGAUUUCCUGGUAAUGUGGACAGACAGGAACAGAGUAGGCUGAACAAAUACUUGACAGGUUCAGCUGGGAAAUGAGCACCAAAUUUUCUGGAACAUAUUCAUUCCUGAUGAUUUUCUAUAGGAAUAAAUGACACUUUCAGAAGAGAACCUUGAAAUGAACCUUGAAAUGCCUUUAAGGUUUAUGGAAACUUGGGCAUCUAAUUUAAGUACAUGAAACAUUGCUUUUGUUAUAUAUUGCUGCACAAGGCACCCCAAAAACUUAGUAGCUUAAAACAACAGUUUUUUAUGGUAUGAUACAGUUCUAGAUUCAGCUUGUGGUCCUUACUUGCAGUCAGAUUGUGGUUGGGGCGGUAGCCAUCUGGAGACUCACCAGGGCUAGAAGAUCUACCUCCAAGAGGGUUUAUUUUCUCAUACAUCUGGCAUAUGGGCUGGGGUAUCUGGAAUAGCUUCAGCCUGGCCAGGUUCCAUCUUUUUUCCACGCAGUCUCUCUGCAUCAUUAUCUUGAUAUUCCUCAUAGAAUGAGGGUCUCGGUAUAAUUGGAUUUUUUUUACAUCGUGACUGAUUUUUCUCAGAGCAAGUGUUCUAUGAGAGCAAGGCAGAAGCAGUGAGCCUUCUUAUGACCUAGCCUCAGAAGGCAUCACGAAUUAUUUCUAUCUCAUUCUAUUGGUUAUAAAGACUAGUCCAAAAUCAUCUUGGGAAUGGACUACACAAGAAUGUGUAUAACUAAAGGCCUGUUCACUGUGUGUGUGUGUGUGUGUGUGUGCACAUGCAUGCAUGCAUAUAUAUUGGAGACUUCUACCACGAGCAUGGUGUUUUCUUCUCCUUGGCAUAUAUUAUGACUUUAGAAGAGAAAGGAGAUCUUUGAUGAAUCAUUGGCCUUGAAUUUCUACAAUAGGAUUUAAGAUGCCUUAGUGACAGGCUCUUGCAAAACUAUCAAGGUCACCACUAAAGGAAGAACCUGUUUUUCCCAGAAGUAUUCCAAAGACUUUCUGAAACAGAACUCAAUUUUAGGACGUAGGGGAAAAGUGAAUCACCUUUAUGCUGUUCAGAGGAGAGUUUGAAUAAUAUCAAUAAGUUUUAUAUCUAUAUAGAUAUGAAUAUACUUAAAGUUAGAUGAUGUUUUUUAAGAAAGUAAAUGAAUGAGCAUAAAUUUUUUUUAGACUUCAUAACAAAAAACA
Homo sapiens (human) is the source of this 14535-nucleotide long non-coding RNA. RefSeq lists it as uncharacterized. The transcript is spliced from 2 exons. The record is from RefSeq and is a predicted model, not a curated record. NCBI's taxonomy places the organism in Eukaryota, Metazoa, Chordata, Mammalia, Primates, Hominidae.